This 205-nucleotide ribosomal RNA is filed under the name uncultured bacterium. Its description in RNAcentral is "partial 16S ribosomal RNA". It matches the Rfam family "Bacterial small subunit ribosomal RNA", at positions 524 to 729 of the family's 1533-position model. The record is from RNAcentral.
UACGAAGGGGCUAGCGUUGCUCGGAAUUACUGGGCGUAAAGCGCACGUAGGCGGUCUUUUAAGUCGGGGGUGAAAUCCUGGAGCUCAACUCCAGAACUGCCUUCGAUACUGGAAGACUUGAGUCCGGGAGAGGUGAGUGGAACUGCGAGUGUAGAGGUGAAAUUCGUAGAUAUUCGCAAGAACACCAGUGGCGAAGGCGGCUCAC